This 261-nucleotide ribosomal RNA is filed under the name uncultured bacterium. Its description in RNAcentral is "partial 16S ribosomal RNA". It matches the Rfam family "Bacterial small subunit ribosomal RNA", at positions 524 to 784 of the family's 1533-position model. The record is from RNAcentral.
UACGAAGGGAGCUAGCGUUGUUCGGAAUUACUGGGCGUAAAGGGCGCGUAGGCGGCUUGAUAAGUUUGGUGUGAAAGCCCUGGGCUUAACCUAGGAAUAGCAUUGAAUACUGUCAGGCUAGAGGCCGAGAGAGGGAAAUGGAAUUGCGAGUGUGGAGGUGAAAUUCGUAGAUAUUCGCAAGAACACCAGUGGCGAAGGCGAUUUCCUGGCUCGGUACUGACGCUAAGGCGCGAAAGCGUGGGGAGCAAACAGGAUUAGAAA